UACGUAGGGUGCAAGCGUUAAUCGGAAUUACUGGGCGUAAAGCGUGCGCAGGCGGUUUUGUAAGUCUGAUGUGAAAUCCCCGGGCUCAACCUGGGAAUUGCGAUGAAGACUGCAAGGCUAGAAUCUGGCAGAGGGGGGUAGAAUUCCACGUGUAGCAGUGAAAUGCGUAGAGAUGUGGAGGAACACCGAUGGCGAAGGCAGCCCCCUGGGUCAAGAUUGACGCUCAUGCACGAAAGCGUGGGGAGCAAACAGG
This 253-nucleotide ribosomal RNA is filed under the name uncultured bacterium. Its description in RNAcentral is "partial 16S ribosomal RNA". It matches the Rfam family "Bacterial small subunit ribosomal RNA", at positions 524 to 776 of the family's 1533-position model. The record is from RNAcentral.